RNAcentral lists this ribosomal RNA (491 nucleotides) under uncultured bacterium. RNAcentral's name for it is "partial 16S ribosomal RNA". It matches the Rfam family "Bacterial small subunit ribosomal RNA", at positions 29 to 506 of the family's 1533-position model. The record is from RNAcentral.
AGUGAACGCUGGCGGUAGGCCUAACACAUGCAAGUCGAACCGCAGCACAGUAAGAGCUUGCUCUUACGGGUGGCGAGUGGCGGACGGGUGAGGAAUACAUCGGAAUCUACUUUUUCGUGGGGGAUAACGUAGGGAAACUUACGCUAAUACCGCAUACGACCUACGGGUGAAAGCAGGGGAUCUUCGGACCUUGCGCGAUUGAAUGAGCCGAUGUCGGAUUAGCUAGUUGGCGGGGUAAAGGCCCACCAAGGCGACGAUCCGUAGCUGGUCUGAGAGGAUGAUCAGCCACACUGGAACUGAGACACGGUCCAGACUCCUACGGGAGGCAGCAGUGGGGAAUAUUGGACAAUGGGCGCAAGCCUGAUCCAGCCAUACCGCGUGGGUGAAGAAGGCCUUCGGGUUGUAAAGCCCUUUUGUUGGGAAAGAAAAGCAGCAGGUUAAUACCCCGCUGUUCUGACGGUACCCAAAGAAUAAGCACCGGCUAACUUCGU